Molecule: small nucleolar RNA, 107 nt
Organism: Gossypium raimondii (Peruvian cotton)
Lineage: Eukaryota; Viridiplantae; Streptophyta; Magnoliopsida; Malvales; Malvaceae
Rfam family: Plant small nucleolar RNA R71
About the family: R71 is a member of the C/D box family of snoRNAs containing the C (UGAUGA) and D (CUGA) box motifs. Multiple nearly identical copies of this snoRNA have been identified in Arabidopsis, and it is thought to function as a 2'-O-ribose methylation guide for 18S ribosomal RNA.
Source: Rfam
AAUUCAUGCAUCAGGCAUUUCUGAAGCAAUUCCUUAAAUCUUUCUCAAGCUUCAUACAACGUGUCAUCCUCUGGUUGUCGAAAAGAUGUGAUGUCAUUUCUAAGCUU